GGAGAGUGAAGGGUGCCUGGUGGCCCCCGCGGUCUUCAAAACCGUUGUUUCGGCGAACAGCCGGAAGGUAGGUUCGAUUCCUACCCUCUCCGCCC
This 95-nucleotide transfer RNA is filed under the name Verrucomicrobiales bacterium. Its description in RNAcentral is "tRNA-Sec". It matches the Rfam family "Selenocysteine transfer RNA". The record is from RNAcentral. Lineage: Bacteria; Pseudomonadati; Verrucomicrobiota; Verrucomicrobiia; Verrucomicrobiales.